UACGUAGGGCGCAAGCGUUGUCCGGAAUUAUUGGGCGUAAAGAGCUCGUAGGCGGUUUGUCGCGUCUGCUGUGAAAACCUAAGGCUCAACCUUGGGCUUGCAGUGGGUACGGGCAGACUAGAGUGCGGUAGGGGUGACUGGAAUUCCUGGUGUAGCGGUGAAAUGCGCAGAUAUCAGGAGGAACACCGGUGGCGAAGGCGGGUCUCUGGGCCGAUACUGACGCUGAGGAGCGAAAGCGUGGGAAGCGAACAGG
RNAcentral lists this ribosomal RNA (253 nucleotides) under uncultured bacterium. RNAcentral describes it as "partial 16S ribosomal RNA". It matches the Rfam family "Bacterial small subunit ribosomal RNA", at positions 524 to 776 of the family's 1533-position model. The record is from RNAcentral.